This 495-nucleotide ribosomal RNA is filed under the name uncultured bacterium. RNAcentral describes it as "partial 16S ribosomal RNA". It matches the Rfam family "Bacterial small subunit ribosomal RNA", at positions 28 to 507 of the family's 1533-position model. The record is from RNAcentral.
GACGAACGCUGGCGGCGUGCCUAAUACAUGCAAGUAGAACGCUGAAGGAGGAGCUUGCUUCUCUGGAUGAGUUGCGAACGGGUGAGUAACGCGUAGGUAACCUGCCUGGUAGCGGGGGAUAACUAUUGGAAACGAUAGCUAAUACCGCAUAAGAGUAGAUGUUGCAUGACAUUUGCUUAAAAGGUGCAAUUGCAUCACUACCAGAUGGACCUGCGUUGUAUUAGCUAGUUGGUGGGGUAACGGCUCACCAAGGCGACGAUACAUAGCCGACCUGAGAGGGUGAUCGGCCACACUGGGACUGGGACACGGCCCAGACUCCUACGGGAGGCAGCAGUAGGGAAUCUUCGGCAAUGGACGGAAGUCUGACCGAGCAACGCCGCGGGAGUGAAGAAGGUUGUCGGAUCGUAGAGCUCGGUUGUAAGAGAAGAACGAGUGUGAGAGUGGAAAGUUCACACUGUGACGGUAUCUUACCAGAAAGGGACGGCUAACUACGUG